AUUUAUUAGAUACUAAGAAUUCAUUUUAGAGGUGUCUAAAUGGUUGCAAUCGACAACCAUAUUAGGAUUGUAUUCUCAUUGGUUUUGCAAAAUAACAUUUCUUGCAUCUAUGGUUCAUAUCAUGGUCAGCCAGGAAACAGUGAUGGUUAAACAAUCAAAACUGGGAUGUGUUUCGGAGUUGUAUUUCUAUAUUUUCCCAGGCAGCAGAAAUGUUUUGUUUCUAAAAAUUUUUUAUUUCUCAGGCACCCAAUGUUUGCUGCGGUUGG
Molecule: unclassified non-coding RNA, 266 nt
Filed under: Hevea brasiliensis (rubber tree)
Lineage: Eukaryota; Viridiplantae; Streptophyta; Magnoliopsida; Malpighiales; Euphorbiaceae
Source: RNAcentral